GGAAUGCCAGGACCAAUCAGGGACGGGGGCGGGGCCCGCGCGGGGGGCUUGGGGAACGAUGCGCGGGGGCGGGCCCGGGGCGGGGAAGAGGCGGGGACCCGAUAGGUCAAAGCGGGCGAGACGGCGUGUGGGGCGGGGCCAACGCGCGGGGAGGCGGGGCGGGGCUGGAAGUGAGUGGGGGAGGUACAGCGCCAGAAGGUUCUGUGGAGGGUUGGGGAGAUGCCGGGAGGCGGGCGGAGGCGGAGGAGGGAGAGGGGAGUUGGGGCGCUGGGGCAACGGCUGGCGGGAAGCCGACAAAUGGAGCGGGAGACUCAGGCUGUCCGAGCUCCAGGAGAUGAACUUGGGAUGCUCUGUUUCUCUGAGUCUUCAUAUUCUCAUCUUAUCCAGAAAGUCUCCUCUGACCUCCCCCGCCAUCAGGUAUAUUUCUUCCUUCUGAGCUCCUAUAAUCCCCCUGUCUUCUCUUUCUCAUAGCACCUGUGUCACUGUAUAUGUCUGGUUAGUGAUCUGUCUCCUCACUCACCCACAGGCACACACUGAGAAUUCCACACUUACAGUAAACCCCAGGCCCCACCUCCUAACACACUGCUUGACACAAAAUAGACUGUAAAUGUGUAUUGAAUGAUGGGCUAUUGAAAAUGUCUAUCUAGGCCAUAUUUUUCCAUGUUUGAUAAUAAGCUAUGAGUAAAUUGCUACGUUUUUAUGAAGUUUCAGAAGGAAUUAACAUCAAUGUUUUUGUGCUUUGAACUAUUUCUUUUUCAGCUAGUGGUAGUUUAAGGAGAGGGAAGUUAACUGUUGCCAGUUUCCUGUGUUAAAACAAACUAGGGGCACCUGGGUGGCUCAGUCAUUUGAGCGUCUGACUCUUGACUCUUGAUUUCAGCUCAGAUUAUGAUUACAGGGUUGCUGGAUCAAGCCCCACAUGGGUGCUCUGAGCUAAGCAUGGAGCCUGCUUAAGAUUCUCCGCCCCCCCUUGCUCCUCUCCCCUCCUCAUUCUCUCUCUCUCUCUAAAAUAAAUCAAAAUAAACAGAACUAGAAAAAGUGGGA
This 1041-nucleotide long non-coding RNA is filed under the name Felis catus (domestic cat). Its description in RNAcentral is "lncRNA (ENSFCAG00000049653.1)". Lineage: Eukaryota; Metazoa; Chordata; Mammalia; Carnivora; Felidae. The record is from RNAcentral.